UACGUAGGGGGCGAGCGUUGUCCGGAGUUAUUGGGCGUAAAGCGCGCGCAGGCGGUCUAGCCAGUCUGGAGUGACAGUUCCCGGCUCACCUGGGAAAGGUCUUCGGAAACUGCUAGACUUGAGGGACUCAGAGGGAGACGGAAUUCCAGGUGGAGCGGUGAAAUGCGUAGAGAUCUGGAGGAACACCAAAGGCGAAGGCGGUUCUCUGGGCAUUCCCUGACGCUGAGGAGCGAAAGUGUGGGGAGCGAACAGG
Molecule: ribosomal RNA, 253 nt
Filed under: uncultured bacterium
Lineage: Bacteria
Description: partial 16S ribosomal RNA
Rfam family: Bacterial small subunit ribosomal RNA
Source: RNAcentral